Chrysemys picta bellii (western painted turtle) is the source of this 1474-nucleotide long non-coding RNA. RefSeq lists it as uncharacterized. The record is from RefSeq and is a predicted model, not a curated record. NCBI's taxonomy places the organism in Eukaryota, Metazoa, Chordata, Testudines, Emydidae.
AGCGAGCGCUGCAUUUGCUGGCGAGCAGACAGCUUGGGUGCAAAAGACCCUUGGCAGAGCCACCUGGGUUAUUUUUGGAAAUGAAACACGCAGACCGUUUCCUGUCUGCCCAGAGAGAACAAACAACCCAGCACUCAAACCUAGAGGCUAGCAAAGCCCAAACUUAAAGGGAAAUCGCUUAGGGAAGGUCUGAGACUUUGUCACAAUUUCCACCACUUGGCUGUCCUGUCUUUCUCCAAGCAGCACAGCGAGCAAUGCCCUUGCCAAGGUAUCCCAGCUCCUAAAACAGGGGAGCCUCGCCAGCACAGCAAAGUUCAGGAGAGACCCCGGAGAGCACCGUGGAUUCUCCUUCCUUCCUGGCACUUUGGGGGAGGUCGGAGAGAGACUGGAACUUCACCAAACCAGCGCACUGGCCACACAUCAAGGGACCACCUCAGGGUCCCAGCAGCCGCCGGGGGACUCGCUCCUAGGAACGGCAUGAAGCCUUUCACCCGGGGAAUUCGAGCCUGCCUUAGACUAUCCAACCCGUGCCGAGCCGGGGAAGCCCACCCAGCUCCAGGUACCAAGGCUCCCAGGGAACUUUGGAGAAGAGCAAGGGAGGGACAGUAGCAGCCUUGGCAUUAUUAUUUGUAUGCAGCAGUCCCACGCAGGCCGGGGGCUCCUUGUGCUAGGAGAUGUACCCAGAAUGGAAGAGAAUCUCUGCCCCAAACAGAAACGGACAAAUAAGUAGCGGUUGAGAAGCUGAACAUUUUUUCCUCUCUCCACACUGUCGUGCAGCAUGGUGUUCUGGGUGGCCAUUGUCCAUCCCACAGGAGGCUGCAUCUCAGGGUUCUUAGCUACAUCGUUUGUGAAGCCUUUGGCAUGAGACGUGCCAACAGGAAAUGCAAAACACUUUCCCUUUGUUUAUUUUUGUGAUCUAUUUGCGGAGAAGAAAGGAUUCCCACACGGCAAUUGCUCUAGUACAAGGGGGUGUGAUGUUUUAUUAUUGCCAUCGUGCGUAUUUUAUCUGAGCGCUCGGUGUGUCUCACCCUUCUCUGGGGUGCUGCAAGAAAGCGUGAAAUCUAUUUCAACAUCCUGCCCGGGCCGCAACUCAGAAAGUGAAGAUGUCCUGAAUAUACAACCCUCUCCCAAAACAAGUGGCAAAAGGUCUGGCUCCAAUUACUGGAGUCCACAGGUGGGAGUGGAAAAUGGUUACACAAGAGCAAUACAAAAAUAGAGAUGGGAGAAACCGAAUCUGCUGAGCAAUGGGAGGUCAUUUAAUAGGAGAUGCUUGUGACUGUGUGUACUACCACUGGAAAAUACCCCAGCUCCAGCUCAGGUCACCUCUGUGGCUCUAUUUAUACUGAUGUAAUUAGCAAUGCCAUAUUCAGGUAGCACAGCUCAAGGGAAAGCUCACACAGGGAGAGCCAUUCUGUUUGGUCCCUGCAUAUGGACUUGUACACACUGGAUUUGAAAAUAAAGUUAGUAAUUAAAA